This 393-nucleotide ribosomal RNA is filed under the name uncultured bacterium. RNAcentral describes it as "bacterial SSU rRNA". It matches the Rfam family "Bacterial small subunit ribosomal RNA", at positions 505 to 898 of the family's 1533-position model. The record is from RNAcentral.
GUGCCAGCCGCCGCGGUAAUACAGAGGGGGCAAGCGUUAUUCGGAAUUAUUGGGCGUAAAGGGCGCGUAGGCGGCCCUUCAAGUGGUAGGUGAAAUCCCUCGGCUCAACCGAGGAGCUGCCCGCCAAACUGAAGAGCUUGAGUCCGGGAGAGGUGAGUGGAAUUCCCAGUGUAGCGGUGAAAUGCGUAGAUAUUGGGAGGAACACCAGUGGCGAAGGCGGCUCACUGGACCGGAACUGACGCUGAGGCGCGAAAGCGUGGGGAGCAAACGGGAUUAGAUACCCCGGUAGUCCACGCUGUAAACGAUGGAUGCUAGCCGUUGGCGGGUUUACUCGUCAGUGGCGCAGCUAACGCAUUAAGCAUCCCGCCUGGGGAGUACGGUCGCAAGAUUAAA